UACGAAGGGGGCUAGCGUUGCUCGGAAUUACUGGGCGUAAAGCGCACGUAGGCGGCUUUGUAAGUUAGAGGUGAAAGCCCGGAGCUCAACUCCGGAAUUGCCUUUAAGACUGCAUCGCUUGAAUCAUGGAGAGGUGAGUGGAAUUCCGAGUGUAGAGGUGAAAUUCGUAGAUAUUCGGAAGAACACCAGUGGCGAAGGCGACUCACUGGACAUGUAUUGACGCUGAGGUGCGAAAGCGUGGGGAGCAAACAGG
This 253-nucleotide ribosomal RNA is filed under the name uncultured bacterium. RNAcentral's name for it is "partial 16S ribosomal RNA". It matches the Rfam family "Bacterial small subunit ribosomal RNA", at positions 524 to 776 of the family's 1533-position model. The record is from RNAcentral.